AAGUCUGGGUGGUAUAAAGUUAAAGAUAUGGUCCAUGAUUCGUUACAUAUGCACGCAAUUAUUUGAUUAGUUGCUUUAUGCUCAAGCCUGACUUUAUUAAUAUUUUCAUAUUGGGUACCUAAAUUUUAGAAAUUAAAUUGGUGUUCCUUAUUGUUCACAAGCGGAUAACAGUGGUGGUUUUUACUAAAAUCGGAUGAGAAAUAGUGGUUUUGUAAAGCAUCGUAUUAUUUGUACACCCAGUUUUCUUAUUUUGACACCCAGAACCAAUUCUCAAAGUUAGACAAAGCCUGCCAUCUUUAUCACAUCUUAACGCUAAACAAGUCGUGUAGAGCUACUUGACUCGUAUUAGGUACGGGAUAGUACGUUGUCUUUCAACACUGACAGAAAGGUGAUGGAUGUGAUGAUACGGCAACCCUAUACGACUUGUAUAGAGCUAUACAAGUAGCAUAGAAGUCUGGUGAAUGAUUGGUUUUGACAUUCUUUCUCCUUUUUAAACGAAGAAGAAACAUUCGGAUCAUUUCAUUUGAAGAAAACUCUCACAAUUCAAACAAUACAUCUUUUGAAUUUCCAACACAAGCAUGUUAGCGAUGUCUUGGUUCGGCCUCAGGAGGGGUCUGUCAUCCCUGAUUCUUAUGAAGGAGAGUAAAUGAUGAUAACGCGGAGGAGGUCGUGUUCGGCGUUCGUUCUUAUCCUAAGGAACCCUUAUUGCCAAACCUGAUCGAGUUUGCUGUGCCUGACGGUGAAUACGAUUACGGGUAUUUGGGUUACAGACACGGAUAUGAGGCCUCGUACGGACAACAAAACUAUGGCAACAACAAAGACAGUGGUGAGUCGUCUUACGCCCAGGAGUCAUUGGUUGACGAGCAACCCGCUUAUCCGCAAGUUUCUUACGAAACUAAGUAGGUUGUUGUGGAGAAACUUAAAAACAAUGUUAUAGGUGACAAGAUUGAUCCUGUACUAAAUUUGGAUUCUAGUAUGGGAGUUUAAGCCACUUAAUUAUUCUCUAAGUGAGGGUAUUUGGGCCUUUGAGGUUA
Helianthus annuus (common sunflower) is the source of this 1034-nucleotide long non-coding RNA. RefSeq lists it as uncharacterized. The record is from RefSeq and is a predicted model, not a curated record. NCBI's taxonomy places the organism in Eukaryota, Viridiplantae, Streptophyta, Magnoliopsida, Asterales, Asteraceae. The transcript has 4 exons.